GGCGUGGAUUUGCUCCCGACCCGCUUUUGGGGCGUGCCUGCUUCCUCCUCUCUGUUAGAUCUCGCUCUGUCACCCAGGCUGGAGUGAAAUGGCACAAUCUUGGCUCACUGUAACCUCCGCCCCCAGGUUCGACUGAUUCUCGUGCCUCAGCCUCCUCAGUAGCUGGGAUUACAGGAUGGAGAGUAAAGGAGGUAAAGGAGGACUCUGAUGCCUCAGCCAUGCGCCUGUGUGCCGAUUCCCAUUAAGCCUGCACCAAUUUGAUUUCCAAGACUCCAGUCAAUCCUCAGAGCUCCAGGAGGGGAGGGGCAGCUUUUCCUGGUAGCUGCUGAUCACCAGCAGAGGGAGCCCUAGGACUGCAGGGCCUCUUUCCUUACCGUUGGUGAAGCCCUUCACUGUGGCUUCAAAACUGUGGAAGACCCGGGAUUUGUGGAUCACUUGCCUUUAGAAUAGAAUCAAGAAAUAAAGCUGCAGAAGAAAGAAUCUCCAUGUGGUAAGGAUUGGAAGGGAGUGUUGAGAGGGGCUUUUGGGGUGCUGGUAAUAUUGUUCUUUGACCCGAUGUUGGUUAUAGGAGUGUGUGCUAUAAUGUGGUAUAUGUACAUUUUUCUGUGCGUAUAACUAAACUUCAGUUAAAAGUUUUUAAAACUUAAACAUCUCUAUGUAUACCACAAAAUAGGUAUCAGGUUAGGGUGAGCGGUUUUUUUCCCUACAAUUCUUAACCUUAUCUGAGUCACAAGACAGCCCUCCCUCCCUUCCUCCGAGAAAGCCACAGACCACUGGUUAAGGACUUCUCCUGCAGCAGCCGAAUAGAGAAAGUGAGCAAAGGACAUGAGCAGACGGUUCACAGCAAAAGAAAUACAAAUAGCACUUAAACUUAUGAAAAAAUGCUCAAUCUCAAUCUUCAAAGAGAAGUGCUUAUAAAAAGUAUGCGGAGAUACCAUUUUUAACCUGUCAGAUUGGCAGAAAUCCCAAAGCUUGACAGCAUGCCCUGUGGAUGGGGCUGGAGGUGGGGGAGUCGGGAGAAUAAAUAGCAGGACUUUUAAUACAUUACCAGUGGGAUUGUGAAAUUGACAGCCCUGUUGAUUUGGGCAAUAUCUACCAAAAUUACAAGUCUAAGAGUCUACCCUGUAGAUGACAUUUGUACCUAUAUGUAAUAAUUUAUGUAAAAGAUGAUCCAUUGCAACAUUGGCUGCAAUAGCAAAAGAUCAGAAACAACUGAAGUGUAUGUACAGGACUGGUGCAUCCACAAAGCAAAAUACUAUAUAACUGGGAAAAAGUUUGAGGAAGCUGUGUGUGCGCUGAGGAAAGAUCUCUAAGAUAUAGGUGAAAAAAAGCACGACGUACAGCUAAGAAUAUAUGUUUGUAUUGCUUCUAUCUUCAUAAAGAAAAACUGAUAAGCUAGACAAGUAACUAAGAAGUGUUUCAGGAAGUGGUUGGGGGCCAGCAGGAGGGGCCGGGCUUCUGAGUGUAUACCUUGUGUUCUGAUUUUUGAAUCAUGUCAGUGUAUAACCUGUGCAAAACAAAACAAAGUUUAGAGUUCCUGCUCUAAAGCUGCUGAGCUA
Homo sapiens (human) is the source of this 1559-nucleotide long non-coding RNA. Ensembl annotates it as OSER1 divergent transcript. Its record names the gene OSER1-DT. Lineage: Eukaryota; Metazoa; Chordata; Mammalia; Primates; Hominidae. The record is from Ensembl.